CAGGAAAUCUGCGAUACCACAGGUGGUUGGGCAGAAACUACCCUGCAAGUCAAUUUAAGGAGGAUUCCACUCCUCAAGAGCCUCUAGAGACUUGCACCAUCAUACAAGAGAGGCCUCACCUCACGCAAGAGAACGCAGGAGAAAGCAGAGGCAGUCAUAAAGAAGGUGCUGGACUGAGGCAUGGGACAUCACUACAGAAGUUCCAGUUAGAGCAGAGAUUCACUCCAGUUGUGUAACUUACUACAGAAUAUUUUGUCAUUUUAGAGAGAUGGAAUGUCAAUGAAUGCAGUUACACUGCUCGUGCUAUCUAUGUGCUGAAGAGAGCUGACAUCACAGGGUCCCGAACCAAGACGCCAGUGUGCUUUAGAGACAUUUUAGAAUUGCUGAACUAAGGCUGCUAAGAUGGCUCAGCAGGUAAAGAUACCUGCUGCCAACUCCUGACAACCUGAAUUCAGUCCCGGACCCACAUGAUGGAGGAAAAAUCAGCUUCUAAAAGAUAUCGUCUGACUUCUACAUGCAUGCCCCACCCUCAUAUGCAUGCACACACACACACACACACACACACACACACACACACA
Long non-coding RNA from Mus musculus (house mouse), 578 nucleotides. RefSeq annotates it as predicted gene, 30097. Lineage: Eukaryota; Metazoa; Chordata; Mammalia; Rodentia; Muridae. The record is from RefSeq and is a predicted model, not a curated record. The transcript is spliced from 5 exons.